RNAcentral lists this ribosomal RNA (253 nucleotides) under uncultured bacterium. RNAcentral describes it as "partial 16S ribosomal RNA". It matches the Rfam family "Bacterial small subunit ribosomal RNA", at positions 524 to 776 of the family's 1533-position model. The record is from RNAcentral.
UACGGGGGGGGCAAGCGUUGUUCGGAAUUACUGGGCGUAAAGGGCGCGUAGGCGGGCCGCCAAGUUCGAGGUGAAAUCCUCCGGCUCAACCGGAGAACUGCCUCGAAUACUGGAGGCCUCGAGGCGGGUAGGGGCGUGCGGAACUGUGGGUGGAGCGGUGAAAUGCGUUGAUAUCCACAGGAACACCGGUGGCGAAGGCGGCAUCCUGGACCGAUAUUGACGCUGAGGCGCGAAAGCCAGGGGAGCAAACGGG